AAACAACUCUUACACGUUGUUUUAAAGCUCGUCUGCUGUAUUUACUAUGAAAAGAGCCGUCGGUGCUGCAGCCAGGUCAACCAAUAAUGCCAAAGUAGAUGGCCAUCCAGAUGUUAAAGUCAAACCCUACUCAGGAGGUACUUAUGAAGACGAGGAAUGAUACAAUGCAAAGCAGAACAAAGCAGCACCAGAAAGCCUGCAGCAUACACAGUAGCAGGCUCACAUAAGACCCCAUGCUUGGGUCAAGCUUUCUCGAUACACCUGAUUGACUUCACAAACAAGGCUGAAAUGACCAGCGAAGCUCUGAGCCCACAUGAGACCUGUCCACACCUUUAAUGAAUGGGAGCCUAGCAGCGGGGAGUGCUCAGGAAUAGCCUCAGGGGAUCUCAGGUAAGAUGAAUUACUUUGUUUUGUUACUGCGCUAUCAUGUGAGCUGCUGAUUAAUGUGAGCGACCAUUCAUAUGUGGAACAGUGAUACACACGAGACAUUACAAAGUAAAGAAUCAAUUAGAUGCUUUGGAAAUGCUCAAAUGAAGCGGUCCUUUUCUGACAGUACAGAUUGUCUCAUUGAAUGCCCCUGCU
Long non-coding RNA from Scomber scombrus (Atlantic mackerel), 582 nucleotides. RefSeq lists it as uncharacterized. NCBI's taxonomy places the organism in Eukaryota, Metazoa, Chordata, Actinopteri, Scombriformes, Scombridae. The record is from RefSeq and is a predicted model, not a curated record. The transcript has 3 exons.